This 77-nucleotide transfer RNA is filed under the name Pseudobacillus badius. Its description in RNAcentral is "Bacillus badius tRNA-Arg". The stretch from base 11 to 68 matches the Rfam family "tRNA", at positions 9 to 63 of the family's 71-position model. From Rfam's summary of the family: Transfer RNA (tRNA) molecules are approximately 80 nucleotides in length. Their secondary structure includes four short double-helical elements and three loops (D, anti-codon, and T loops). Further hydrogen bonds mediate the characteristic L-shaped molecular structure. tRNAs have two regions of fundamental functional importance: the anti-codon, which is responsible for specific mRNA codon recognition, and the 3' end, to which the tRNAs corresponding amino acid is attached (by aminoacyl-tRNA synthetases). tRNAs cope with the degeneracy of the genetic code in two manners: having more than one tRNA (with a specific anti-codon) for a particular amino acid; and 'wobble' base-pairing, i.e. permitting non-standard base-pairing at the 3rd anti-codon position. Lineage: Bacteria; Bacillati; Bacillota; Bacilli; Caryophanales; Bacillaceae. The record is from RNAcentral.
UUUGACCUGCAGCUCAGCAGGAUAGAGCAGCAGCCUCCUAAGCUGCAGGUCAGAGGUUCAAAUCCUCUAAGUCGCGU